Molecule: ribosomal RNA, 301 nt
Filed under: uncultured bacterium
Lineage: Bacteria
Description: partial 16S ribosomal RNA
Rfam family: Bacterial small subunit ribosomal RNA
Source: RNAcentral
CAGCCGCCGCGGUAAUACGAAGGGGGCUAGCGUUGCUCGGAAUGACUGGGCGUAAAGGGCGCGUAGGCGGUUCGUACAAUCAGGGGUGAAAUCCCAGAGCUCAACCUCGGAACUGCCUCUGAUACUGGGGAUCUUGAGUCCGGAAGAGGUGAGUGGAACUGCGAGUGUAGAGGUGAAAUUCGUAGAUAUUCGCAAGAACACCGGUGGCGAAGGCGGCUCACUGGUCCGGAACUGACGCUGAGGCACGACAGCGUGGGGAGCAAACAGGAUUAGAUACCCCUGUAGUCCCUGUCUCUUAUAC